Molecule: ribosomal RNA, 785 nt
Filed under: uncultured Glomus
Lineage: Eukaryota; Fungi; Glomeromycota; Glomeromycetes; Glomerales; Glomeraceae
Description: SSU rRNA
Rfam family: Eukaryotic small subunit ribosomal RNA
Source: RNAcentral
AUGGUAGGAUAGAGGCCUACCAUGGUGGUAACGGGUAACGGGGUGUUAGGGCACGACACCGGAGAGGGAGCCUGAGAAACGGCUACCACAUCCAAGGAAGGCAGCAGGCGCGCAGAUUACCCAAUCCCGACACGGGGAGGUAGUGACAAUAAAUAACAAUACAGGGUUCUUUGAAUCUUGUAAUUGGAAUGAGUACAAUUUAAAUCUCUUAACGAGGAACAAUUGGAGGGCAAGUCUGGUGCCAGCAGCCGCGGUAAUUCCAGCUCCAAUAGCGUAUAUNAAAGUUGUUGCAGUUAAAAAGCUCGUAGUUGAAUUUCGGGAUCAAUACGUCGGUCGUGCUUUCGGGUACGUACUGGCGUCAUUGGUUUCUCCUUUCUGACGAACCAUGAUGUCAUUAAUUUGGUGUUAUGGGGAGUUAGGACUGUUACUUUGAAAAAAUUAGAGUGUUUAAAGCAGGCAUUAGCUUGAAUACAUUAGCAUGGAAUAAUGAAAUAGGACGUUCGAUCCUAUUUUGUUGGUUUCUAGGAUCAACGUAAUGAUUAAUAGGGAUAGUUGGGGGCAUUAGUAUUCAAUUGUCAGAGGUGAAAUUCUUGGAUUUAUUGAAGACUAACUACUGCGAAAGCAUUUGCCAAGGAUGUUUUCAUUAAUCAAGAACGAAAGUUAGGGGAUCGAAGACGAUCAGAUACCGUCGUAGUCUUAACCAUAAACUAUGCCGACUAGGGAUCGGAUGAUGUUAAUUUUUUAAUGACUCAUUCGGCGCCUUACGGGAAACCAAAGUGUUUGGG